Long non-coding RNA from Stegostoma tigrinum, 893 nucleotides. RefSeq lists it as uncharacterized. Lineage: Eukaryota; Metazoa; Chordata; Chondrichthyes; Orectolobiformes; Stegostomatidae. The record is from RefSeq and is a predicted model, not a curated record. The transcript is spliced from 4 exons.
ACACGCUCUGAUCACUGCAGUGGUACGUACAGCCCAACAUCGAGAUGGUGCUCUUCUGCAAUGACAAGGAGCCAAAUCUGAAAGGAGAAUUUGAUUCAGGACAGUUGCCUGAAACGGCUGAUAAUCCUCCGAGGAUGUUCUGAGGUGUGGGUGCAAGCUGGCCAGCAAGUACAAUGCAGAUUUGCGGGUGACUGAAGAGUAAAGGUGAAGAUGAGACAGUCACAGACAUAUCCUGCAGAGUUUGAAUAAAGGCUGUUACAGACUGGAGCAUAAGGGACUGAAUGAAAAUCUACCACAUGACCAGGAUGAGGGUGUCGCUGGCCAGGCAACAUUUAUUGCCCAUCCCUAAUUGCCCAGAGGACGUUUCAGAGUCAACCACGUUGCUGUGGGUCUGGAGUCACAUGUAGGCCUGACCAGUUGACAUUUGGCUUCGCUCUGACAGUGGAGGAGGCCAAGGAUGGACAUGUCACCAGGAGAGAAGGAGGGGCAACCAAAAUGUAUGGCAACCAGAAGGUUACAUUAGAAGCGUGAAGUGGAAAGGAAUCUCACUUGCAGCAGAGAAAUCCUACCUUGAUGAAUAAACAAAAUAAACAUUAAAAACAGCACAGAUUUUGACUCGACCUCAUUUGAAAUUGUAAUGUGUUUUAUUAUUAUCACUGAAUAUUGAUGGUAUUUUAAUAUUAAUGAUGUGCAUAUUGUGGUCUUGACUUGUGUUUGUUAAAACGUUCAGAACUAUUAUUUAUUGGUCUUCAGGAGCUGCUUUAUUUAUUUGCAUUUGUGUUCAUUCCGGAGCUUCAGUUUGUAAAUUCCCACAAAAUAAAAAGUUUACCUCCUCAGAAAUGGUGAGAUUAACGAGUAACAUAGAUUCCAAAGGCUCGGCAACUCACAUUCUU